Poecilia latipinna (sailfin molly) is the source of this 1836-nucleotide long non-coding RNA. RefSeq lists it as uncharacterized. The transcript is spliced from 3 exons. The record is from RefSeq and is a predicted model, not a curated record. Lineage: Eukaryota; Metazoa; Chordata; Actinopteri; Cyprinodontiformes; Poeciliidae.
UUUUCAAUAACCUUUUUGUUCAUUUUUUCUCUGGCACCGUUGCCAAUAAAGGUUGGUGAAUUGAAGAGACACUUUACACCUCCACUAAAGAAAAUAGUUCCAAAGCACAUUUGAAUAAGGACGACUAUAUUUAUUUAUUUUCAUUGAGAACAUUUGUGAGUGCUACAUCGGUUUUACAUUUGUUAAACCGAUGUAGCAUCUCAAAAUUAAUCUUGUGUUUCUUGGAAAACGUACAAUUGUUAACUGCGGAUGGAUAUGCGGUUUCAAAAUCAAACGUAGUCUCAUCAGUCCGUUGGCGUGAAGUCUGCAGGUUGGCUGGCCUUCUACUAAAGAAGCUGUAAGUACACCUCUGUUUUGUCUGCAUUGUAUCAAAUUUUAGGGAGAGAUUUUAAAUCGCUAGUUAAAAAAUGUGCUGCUCGUAAUGGUUCGGAUGACCGGAGUACCCCAAAAAUGACCUAAUUAGUUGUUUCUUCUUUUUUGUUUUUGUUUUUCUUUUAGGUGAUUUUUUUUAUAUUGUUAAAACACACACAAUAAGUCAUCUGCCAUUAUUGAGGUAAGAAUAUUUGGAUGCAGAGCGAUUUCAAACUGUUCUGGGCCAGAUCAUUUUCAAAUACGCUGCGGCGCCAUUCACCGGUAAAUUUGAGCGCCAACGCGGCAGAAUAAAAUCGGUUCACUAAUGACGUUGCUAGCGGAGGUUGCUUUUAAAGUACCUUGACACGAUAAAACCACUUACAUUAUUUAUAAAGAGUAACUACUUCGCUUUCAUUCUGUGUACAUGGGUUUUUAUCAAUCUUUCUCGCAGCCAAUUAAGCCAGCAUGCAUAGCUGGGAUCCAUUAAUUGUGCAUUUUUAAUUAUUAUUAUUAUUUUUUUUUUUUUUCAUGAAACUGCAUUGAAUCGUAUCGUUGUGGGCUAGAUAGGUAAUGAUGAAUGGGCAUGGGUUUUGUCUGGGCUAACUACACGAGGCCCAUAUGUUUAACCUGAAAUGGGACCUAUAUUGUCAGCCCAUUUGGGCAAAUGUAUAGACUCUAUUCAGCAUUAUUGUGGGCUAACUGAGAAUGGGACAGAAAUGGGCAACACGAAAUGGGGCCCAUGUGGUUUCAGUAUAUUUGGCAUAAAAACUUUUUUCUAAAUGGAAUGAAGGCAUAGUAGUAAAUAUUUUAAAAUCAUGUUUCAUUGUGUAAGUGACAUUUUAAAGCGUUUUAUUCUGUCAUAGUUUGACUGCAAAAAAACAAACUAACUGUAGUUAACAAGUAUUCAGUCUGGUGUUUAGGUCUCAACUAGCCAUUUGUUUGGUCAAUGAAAAUGGGAGCUUUAGAUUUACCAAUGUUUUAAUACUUUUUUUUUAAAAAUUCUAAAGAGUACUAUGGAGAAGCGCGACAAAGGCUUGCAAGGGCAGAAGCAACAUCGGAUCUUCAAACAGAUAAUGAUAUUCCAGAAAAGCGACAUAGAAGGUUGUCAUGGUUGCAGAAAUUGGAGAAGGGUCCUUAGAUGAUGCAGUACAACAAGCUGUGCGAUUCCUCAUGUCCCCUGAAUUGGCCCUCCAGUUCAACCUGUUUGGCCGACAUAGGAAACAAGUUCCGGGACCUGCGUCUCUGAUGUUUUGUAUGGUAAAGAUCAGUUUUUAUAUUCACUUUUUUUCUUGAACAUUUGUUAAUUUUGGUUGUCUUAUGCCUUUUGUUCAUUUUUAGUAAUCUUUUUUUUUUUUUAAGAUUAAAAACUGAGACUUCAAUUUUUGGUUUAAUUCACAUAGUAUUCUUUCACUGUGCUCUCAAGAACUUAAAGAUUUGAUUGCUGACAAAAUUUGAAGGGGCACUUACAAGAAAUGGAUCCAUCCA